GUUAUUUGUUCAGGUCGGUAUGUUCUGGCUGGUUUGUACCGGGUGCUGUUUAUCACCCAUGCUUUGUGUAAACCGUUCUUUUUGCACUUGUAAAUGGUUUACUUUGUGCUGUCGCGUAAAUUGCGUUGUUUCACUCAUCUCUGCUCUCCUGCGCCUGACUUUAUACACCAGCUACACCCACCAACCUGACAGGGAUCAGGCGGCACAUGCAAUCAAUGAUCACUUUCGCUACAACAGAACAGAAAUGUCUGCCAGGCUACGGGUCCUAUUGGAGGGCUCUGAUAUCCGUAAGCUAACAUUGCCUUCUGGAAUCCCUGCUACUGUGGCUGUGCUUGGCACAAUUGUGCAAGAGACAUUUCGGCUUAAAAAAUAAUUUGUUCUACAGUAGGUGGACAGUGAAUUUGGAGAUCAGUAAUUUUAUUUGCUUGAUACUGAAGACCUAAAGGAUAAAGACACCAUCAAAGUGGUUGACCUUGACGGCCCACCUCUUAUUACUUUACAUGUACAAGAACUCAAUAACAGCUCCAUCGGAUGAGGGGCUCCCUUGGAUCACGUGACACUGUGAUAUUGUCCUCUCCAGAAAGUACCUCUUCCCAACGCUCCAGUCCAUGGCCAUCUGAGUUUGAAGUUCCUCGCUUUGCUUAUGAUACAGAGCUCAUUCUUGAGGCAACUAAUGAAGCACACAUGAAGGAUGGAACACUACUCAACAAUCUGCCUGUGAAAUCAGACAUCCUGGAAAAACAACUGUCUGAAAGGAUCUUCCAGUUUACAGCCUAUCCGUCAAGUCUACAAAUUUGGUAGGUUGCAGAAGUUUGAUAAAAAAGUACCCAUGUCUUAAGAGCCUGGAUCCUUCUCAGGCCUGUACGGAUGGCAAACCAGUCUGAAGUACAAGAUGGGCAAUUACAGAUCGAAACUGAGAGGAAUUGGUUGCCCAGAACUGGAAGUGAACUCUGUCAAGAGAAUAUCACCAUAGGACUGGCCCGUUGCCAAGAACAUAAAAAAAACUAAGAAGGUGGAGGUGAAUUACCCCCCACCCUGCUGGAGAAACAGAUGAGACCCUGGAGAGGGAGCGAGUGGAGCUACUGGGAGAAGUACAAAUACGUGACAACCACAACAUUGUGAGUGCCAAAAUGGCGAAGACAAGAUGUCGUUCAGGCCUUUCCUGUGAAGGACUUCAAAGAUAGAUGGCCAGCCCUGUUUGAGCCCACUCAGAUUAAGGAAAUUCAGAAGAAUUACAACUGUUGCUCUUGAGUCCACCUUUCUGCAGAAGCUGGAUGAAUUUACACCAAAACUAUUGGACUUGUUUAAGUCAAAAGGAGGUGCUGUAAAGACAGACAUGCAGAAAAUACUUGAAGUUCUGCACGGGUGCAACACCAUCCAGGAAAGAAGAGACAGUGUGACCCGUGGCCUGAUCAUAUACCUCGGCGAGAGGGUUGAAGAUUACAGAAUACAAGGUAAAGGUUUUUAUUUUUGUAUCCUUAUUUAUCUCUAAAUGAGAUCUUCCCUCUCUCUCCUCUCAAAUUGCACAGUUAAUGUAAUAGCCUAGUCUGUUAUUUCUUCUUUUUUUUUUUACUCCGGAUGCUGACGACACCAUGAUCCGAGAGGACCUCGUUCAGCAUGUGAUGAAUAUGUUCACUAUGAAGCAUCUGCACCAGAAUAUAGAGCAUGGGAUCUGCAUCGAAGGAGCAGAGGUCCUGGCUGGUAUUCCCAGUGUUACACAGGCAUGUACCUUGCUUAUGGGCCUCCUCUAUGGCAUAAAUCUAAGGUACCCUAAAGAACUGAAAUAUACCUUUGAGGUGUUCCAAAAAGUAUUCUUGGAACUUGAUGAUCUCAGGACCUCCCGACAGGUCCAUGCUCUAAAGAUGAAGUUACUUGUUUUCAGAGAUAUCUAAAGAUAUCUAUGAGAACUGUCAAAGGGCCACUCACAAACUGUGGUCUAAACCCUACUCAGUAAGCUGAAAAGCUAGUUGCUAGGUGGUAUAGGAGCUACAGUUUACAUUGUGCUCUUUGUCAGGUAAAGUCAUAAGAGACAUUGCCAAAUCCUGUUUUAAAAAAACAGCUUUGUUUUAAAACUUAGGCCAUAUGCACUAGUGGAUAUCUGAGAUUAUUUGUCAGGUGCAAGCUAUCUGGAUGUAACUUUACCUAAGGAGGCAAGGUGGAGUUAUACCCAGAAUGCUUAUACCUGUCAAAAUAAUAUGUCCAUAUGGGCUUCACUAGUGCAUAUGGAGUCAGGUUUAAGGGAGAAUUUAGCAUAUAUUUUGUAACAAUAUGUGUAAUGUAUGUUUUGAAAACCCAUGUUUUGAUUAAUCUGAAACAGUUUGAAUGAGGUUGUAUUUGAGCUAAAGUUCAUAUUGUGCUUUGUGUAAAGUCUAUUAAGAUAAAUCGUUCAUUUACAUUUCUGUUAAAAUAUUGUUUUGUUGUUAAGGGGCACACAGACCACCAGAGAAUUCUUGCCAGACUGCACAAGAUGUGAGGUCAAAGUGCCAAUCCCAAACUAUCACCUAAACCUUAUGCAUUUGUGAAGAUCUAAAAGUAUUUGUAGUCAGGUGCAGCUAUCUGGAUGUAACUUUACCUAAGGAGGCAAGGUGGAAUUAUACCCAGAAUGAUUACAGAUUACAAAAUAUGAUUGCCUAAAGAGUAGGG
This 2643-nucleotide long non-coding RNA is filed under the name Salmo salar (Atlantic salmon). RNAcentral describes it as "lncRNA (ENSSSAG00000092232.1)". Lineage: Eukaryota; Metazoa; Chordata; Actinopteri; Salmoniformes; Salmonidae. The record is from RNAcentral.